GAGGAGCAGAGUUACUAUCAGUGAUUUCACGCCGGUGGUAGAGAGCAAACUUGCAAAAAAUCCUCCUGAAAACUUGGCCAUUGACCACAGAAAAACCUGUUCCCUUAUCCUCCCCUUUUGACCCUGUGAAGGAGGGGAAAAAAAGAGCAAGCCUGCAUUUUCCCACUCUUAAAAGUAAGGGUGUUUGAAGGUAGACUGUUUUGAGCCUGAAUUCUAAAUAGCACUGUUCAUCAUCAGCCUUUGUGUGCUUCCAAAAACAUCCUUUCCGUGGUGUGCUGUGACAGCCUGUACAGGGCACAGCCCCUUUAAAAGGCAGAAGGGUGCGAUUUUUUAAAAUUAACCAACUACUGAAAUGGAGCAAAAUGCAUGUGGCUCUGAAGCUCCCCUUUCCAGAGCGUACCUUGCCUUUUCCCUGCAGGGCUGGCAGAUGUGGCUGAGGCCCCCUUACCCUGGAGCUAUGACCCCCCACCUGGGGCUUUGCUGCUGCCUCUGCCCCGAUUUAAAGCUGGGGGAUGAGUGUGGAGCCCAGGUUUUGCAAGCAUUUGUUGCCUGAAGAACUGAUGAGCUGCCUUGGGCAUACUGCUGGGCCCUCACAACUGUGCUGCUUUGAGCCUAAAGCCCUUAAGAUCAGGGUGGUUGGGGCUGGAAGGAACCUCUGGAGGUCAUCUUGUACAACCCACUCCUGCUUAAGUGGAGCCCACCUAAAACCAGUUGCUUUGUACCACAUCCAGAUGCCUUUUUGAAUAUCUCCAAGGAUGGAGGCUCCACAACUUCUCUGUGCAACCUCUGCCAAUGCUCUGUCACCAUCACAGUAAAAAUGUGUUCCUGAUGUUCAGAGGGAACAUCCUGUGUUUCAUUGUGCCUCUGGUCCUGGCACUGGGCACCACUGAAAAAAAGCAUAUACAUUAGCAAUAUGUACACCACCACCCUGGAUCCCAAACCUUCUCCUUCCAGGCUGAACAGUCCCAGCUCUCUCAGCCUUUCCUCAUAGGAGAGAUGCUCCAGUCCCUUCAUCGUAUUAGUGGUUGUUUAGUGGACUCUCUCCAGUAUGUCCAUGUCUCUUUCUGGGAGACUCUGAACUGGAUACAGCACUCAGGUGUGGCCUCACUGGUGCUGGGUAGAAGGGAAGGAUCACCUCUCCCAGUCUGCUGGCAGCACACCUCCUAACACAGCCCAGGAACCAGGCCAGAAGGGCAUGCUGCUGGCUCACAGUCAACUUGGUGUCCACUACAACCCCCAGCGCCUUCUUUGCAAAGCUGCUUUCCAGCCAAACACCCCCCAGCAUAUACUGGUGCCUGGGGUUGUUCCUCCCCAGGCACAGGCCUUGACUUACCCUUCACGAGGUCCCUCUCAGCCCAUUUCUCCAGCAUGUCGCGGUCCCUCUGGACGGCAGCACGACCAUCCGUCACAUCAGCCACUCAUCCCCAUUUGGAGUCACCUGCAAACUCACCGAGAGUAGCCUCUGCCCCGUGUCCCACAUUGUUAAUGAAAAUGCUAACCAGGACCGGACCCAGCAUUGACCCCUGGGGCACACCACUGGUUACCACCUCUGGCUAGGCUUUGUGCCGCUGACCACCAUUCCCCCAACACAGUCAUUCAGCCACUUUUAAUCCACCUCACUGCUCAUCCAGCCCCUACUUUCACUAGUGGGUCCAGUUGUACCCUGGCUUAUCUUUUGUCACUUUUGCACUUACAGGAGCCCCUCUAGUCUUUAACAUCCCUUGCCAAAUAAAAUUGCAGCUGUGCUUUGGCUUUCAUACCUUCA
This is a non-coding RNA of Phalacrocorax carbo (great cormorant), 1765 nucleotides long. The record is from RefSeq and is a predicted model, not a curated record. NCBI's taxonomy places the organism in Eukaryota, Metazoa, Chordata, Aves, Suliformes, Phalacrocoracidae.